AGAGUUUGAUCAUGGCUCAGAUUGAACGCUGGCGGCAUGCCUAACACAUGCAAGUCGAACGGGUUGUAGCAAUACAACUAGUGGCGGACGGGUGAGGAAUACAUAGGAAUUUGCCUUUAGGUGGGGGAUAGUCCGGGGAAACUCGGUUUAAUACCGCAUGAUGUCGCAAGACCAAAGCAGGGGAUCGUAAGACCUUGCGCCUUUAGAGAAGCCUAUGUCGGAUUAGCUAGUUGGUAGGGUAAUGGCCUACCAAGGCGACGAUCCGUAACUGGUCUGAGAGGACGAUCAGUCACACCGGAACUGAGACACGGUCCGGACUCCUACGGGAGGCAGCAGUGGGGAAUAUUGGACAAUGGGCGAAAGCCUGAUCCAGCAAUGCCGCGUGUGUGAAGAAGGCCUUCGGGUUGUAAAGCACUUUAGGCUGGGAAGAAAAAGCUUCACCUAAUACGUGAAGCCUUGACGGUACCAGCGGAAUAAGCACCGGCUAACUCUGUGCCAGCAGCCGCGGUAAUACAGAGGGUGCUAGCGUUAAUCGGAUUUACUGGGCGUAAAGCGUGUGUAGGCGGUUCGUUAAGUCGGAUGUGAAAGCCCUGGGCUCAACCUAGGAAUUGCAUUCGAUACUGGCGGGCUAGAGUACGGUAGAGGGCGGCGGAAUUCCGGGUGUAGCGGUGAAAUGCGUAGAUAUCCGGAGGAACACCGAUGGCGAAGGCAACCGCCUGGGCCUGUACUGACGCUGAGACACGAAAGCGUGGGGAGCAAACAGGAUUAGAUACCCUGGUAGUCCACGCCGUAAACGAUGAGAACUUGACGUCGGUUUGCUCUGCGAAUCGGUGUCGUAGCUAACGCGAUAAGUUCUCCGCCUGGGGAGUACGGCCGCAAGGUUGAAACUCAAAUGAAUUGACGG
Molecule: ribosomal RNA, 904 nt
Filed under: uncultured bacterium
Lineage: Bacteria
Description: SSU rRNA
Rfam family: Bacterial small subunit ribosomal RNA
Source: RNAcentral